RNAcentral lists this ribosomal RNA (782 nucleotides) under uncultured bacterium. RNAcentral describes it as "bacterial SSU rRNA". It matches the Rfam family "Bacterial small subunit ribosomal RNA", at positions 68 to 848 of the family's 1533-position model. The record is from RNAcentral.
UCGAAAGCUUGCUUUUGAUGGGCGUCGACCGGCGCACGGGUGAGUAACGCGUAUCCAACCUGCCCACCACUUGGGGAUAACCUUGCGAAAGUAAGACUAAUACCCAAUGACGUCUCUAGAGGACAUCUGAAAGAGAUUAAAGAUUUAUCGGUGAUGGAUGGGGAUGCGUCUGAUUAGCUUGUUGGCGGGGUAACGGCCCACCAAGGCUACGAUCAGUAGGGGUUCUGAGAGGAAGGUCCCCCACAUUGGAACUGAGACACGGUCCAAACUCCUACGGGAGGCAGCAGUGAGGAAUAUUGGUCAAUGGACGAGAGUCUGAACCAGCCAAGUAGCGUGCAGGAUGACGGCCCUAUGGGUUGUAAACUGCUUUUAUAAGGGGAAUAAAGUGAGUCUCGUGAGACUUUUUUGCAUGUACCUUAUGAAUAAGGACCGGCUAAUUCCGUGCCAGCAGCCGCGGUAAUACGGAAGGUCCGGGCGUUAUCCGGAUUUAAUGGGUUUAAAGGGAGCGUAGGCCGGAGAUUAAGCGUGUUGUGAAAUGUAGAUGCUCAACAUCUGCACUGCAGCGCGAACUGGUUUCCUUGAGUACGCACAAAGUGGGCGGAAUUCGUGGUGUAGCGGUGAAAUGCUUAGAUAUCACGAAGAACUCCGAUUGCGAAGGCAGCUCACUGGAGCGCAACUGACGCUGAAGCUCGAAAGUGCGGGUAUCGAACAGGAUUAGAUACCCUGGUAGUCCGCACGGUAAACGAUGGAUGCCCGCUGUUGGUCUGAAUAGGUCAGCGGCC